This 1622-nucleotide long non-coding RNA is filed under the name Panax ginseng (ginseng). Its description in RNAcentral is "long non-coding RNA (PGIN_LNC000778)". The record is from RNAcentral. Lineage: Eukaryota; Viridiplantae; Streptophyta; Magnoliopsida; Apiales; Araliaceae.
CCCAAAUCUCGCUUUAGGCAAACUAAGCUCCUCUCUCUCCCUAAAUAACCGCGCCCUAGGUUCUACAAACUGAAAAUCGCACCCAAAUCGUCUGACCUAAGAAUCGCGAAUUAGGCAGGGCUGGCUGAGAAUCGCGAUUGUGAGAUCCCAAAUCACAAGCCCUAGCUUCUGCGUUCUCUCUUCUCUCCAAACCGGACGGAAGCAGAGCCAAACUCCAAGAUGUUUCUCUUAUCGCUUCUCUACAAAUUAGGUAUGUGUAGUACAGUUCCUCUGUUUAAUGAGUUCUUCUAUGGGUUUUUCUCACCAUGGUCAUUUAUAAUCUUAUUAUCCUCUGUUUUCUUGUUCUUUUGUUUGUGGCCCUAGAUUCCCAAAAAUUAUAUGUGUUUCGGUUUAUUGAAUUGUUUGUAGUCAGGUCCGUAGUAGCCGUUCCAGUCAAGUCCAACCUCACAGUUUGUGCACAUCUGAAAAGCAAGGACACGGACAAGGAGUUUAAAGAAGAUGUAUCCUUUGGUGUUGAACUCCAUGGGAAAUUGGGAAAAACUAAUAAACAGCAUACAAGUGAGGGUCACUUGGAAAUGCUAUUGGUAUGAGUUAUAUAUAUAUAUAUAUAUAUAUAUAUAUAUAUAUAUAUAUAUAUGUUUCUAUUGUAAAUUUGUGACUUUUAAAUAUUUGAACUUUUAUAGAUUCAUUUCUGUUAAAAAUCUCGUUUUGUUUUAAUUUGAACCAGGGAUGUAUUGUGAUAUGCAGUGAAGAUCUCAGAUUGGAGGCACCUUGGAAUUCGAUUUGCUAUUUUAUGUAUUUCCUUUAUUUUAAAUUAGGAUUGUAUUUGUGGAUUGUGGGUGGCAGUUGUUUGAAACUUUGAUUUCUGUCAUGGAUGUGUUGUUUGAAACUUUGUGGAUUGUAUUUGUACUAUGCGGAAGUUGUUUGGAUUUCAUUUUGGUUGUGGAUAUUUGGAUUCACCUGUUUGAAACCGCUGCCAUCCCCUGUGUCUGAGGAUUAAUGUGGCUGAAGUGUUAUCGUGCCUGUUGCACAUCCUAUUUGGGUCUGAUCUAUCAAUUUUUAGCUAGUUUAAUUUACAUGUCAACAUUUUUAAUUUUUAGCAAGUGCAAGCAACUAUCAGUUUCCACAGGUAAGAUGAUCUUUCCUUCCUUGUGUCAUAGCACAGUUCUAAUUUGCAUAAAUUGUUGUAUGAGUAUCACUUGGAAAAAAACUUAACUAUGUAUACUGCUUCCAAUUUGGUGUGGCAGCUUGCAGCUGUUCCUCUUUCUUUAUUGAUACCAUCUGCUAUCAAGAGCUGGUGGAAAAAAUUGAGGAGAUGACAUUGAAGAAUGAAAGACUGAAGAAAAAAGUGGUGUACUCGAUUUUUCUUUUUUCUUUCAUGUUGUGGUUUUUGUUGUUUGUAAUGUAGUUGUAGUUGUGUUGUAAUGAAAUUGUUUAAUGUAAUGAAAUUACAAGUUGUAGUUGCUUUGAAAUGAAACUAUUGUAAUGAAACUUUCCAACUUUGUAAUCUAAUGAAUUGUCAUCUUUGAAAUGAGUUGUAAUGAAAUUGUUUAAUGUAGAGCUAUUUUUGAGCUUGAAACUGCUUGAAGGUGGUGGAUUAGUUUUGCAGAGAUUGAAACUGC